AAACUAACAAGGAUUCCCCUAGUAACGGCGAGUGAAGAGGGAAGAGCCCAAGAUUGAAAGCUGGCGUCUUCGGCGUCCGCAUUGUAAUCUCAAGAAGUGUUUUCCGCUUCGGACCAAGCCUAAGUCCCCUGGAAAGGGGCAUCAUAGAGGGUGAUAAUCCCGUACAUGGCUUGGAGCGCCCGAGGCUUUGUGAUACGCUUUCUAAGAGUCGAGUUGUUUGGGAAUGCAGCUCAAAAUGGGUGGUAAAUGCCAUCUAAGGCUAAAUAUUGGGGAGAGACCGAUAGCGAACAAGUACAGUGAUGGAAAGAUGAAAAGAACUUUGAAAAGAGAGUUAAACAGUACGUGAAAUUGCCAAAAGGGAAGGGUAGGAGGUCAGAGAUGCGGCCUGGGAUUCAGCCUUGCUUUUGCUUGGUGUUUUUCCCAGAUUGCAGGCCAACGUCGGUUUUGGGCACUGGAGAAGGGUAGGAGGAACGUGGCACCCCUCGGGGUGUGUUAUAGCCUCCUACUGGAUACAGCGACCGAGACCGAGGACAGCAGCGUACUCGCAAGAGCGGGCCUUCGGGCACCUUUACGCUUAGGGCGUUGGCAUAAUGGCCCUCUACCACCCGUCUUGAACCCACGGAC
Molecule: ribosomal RNA, 624 nt
Filed under: Moesziomyces antarcticus
Lineage: Eukaryota; Fungi; Basidiomycota; Ustilaginomycetes; Ustilaginales; Ustilaginaceae
Description: LSU rRNA
Rfam family: Eukaryotic large subunit ribosomal RNA
Source: RNAcentral